Molecule: long non-coding RNA, 2110 nt
Filed under: Carassius auratus (goldfish)
Lineage: Eukaryota; Metazoa; Chordata; Actinopteri; Cypriniformes; Cyprinidae
Description: lncRNA (ENSCARG00000032181.1)
Source: RNAcentral
UCGUUCUUGUUUUAAGAAAUCUAAAUAAUAGGGAGAAUUACACACAAUGUUGUCACGAAUGUAAGAUUAUAACGUUAUAUGUGUAUAGAAGAUUCGCUCAUUGUACUACUUCGUGUUGACUCACAGGUUCAGUCAAGUUGAUUAAAAGCUGCUCGUACACCAACUGGACCAAACCGGACUUUUACCUCAGUCACUUCAUCAGAUGCAGAGCGCCAGAUAUAGGUUCAGUCAAGUUGAUUAAAAGCUGCUCGUUCACCAACUGGACCAAACCGGAUUUUUACCUCAGUCACUUCAUCAGAUGCAGAGCGCCAGAUAUAGGUUCUGUCAAGUUGACUAAAAGCUUGUUCACCAACCAGAUUUUUUUUACCUCAGUCACUUCACUUCAUCUCAGUUGCAGAGCACCAGAUACAGGUGAGUUUUCACAGAAAUCUUUGGAAAUUCUUAAAAUUAACUAUCAAUUUGUGAUGCGGGUAACUUAAAGGGAUGGUUCGGACUAAAUUCAACCUAGGGUCAUUUGCACCAUGACCUCCAGCCAAACACCUCCCCAAAAGCUUUUUUUUCCCUUGGUCGAACAUUAUUAAAGUUAGAGCUUUUUUAGCGCGAUCAGCCAGAGGGCUUAGUGCAGGCGCUAAUUGACACACUGCAUGUUUCAGUGAUGCCUGUUUGUGUCAUUUGUUAUUUGAGAACACAUUUCAACAAUCUUCCUAAUUUCAUCAUGUGAAUCAUUUAUAAACCUGUUGUCUGAAGUUUCAGGGUCUCCCUGCAUUUGAAAGCAAAAAAUAAUAAGGCAGUAAUUAAAGAUAAUAAUAGGGAUGUAUGAUUAAUUUUUGGCUUCCAACGAUGAAAACAAGAUAAACGAGGUAGAACGGUCAUUGUGCCGCUGUUGCAUUACUUCGAGCACACCUUCAAUUCCUUCAGAGUUGUGCUUUCGUUUCUCCCUAAAACCCCAAACUUAAAGUGACAGCAGCUAAACUGCUGUCUGUCAGUGAUGAAAAUCAAACAAAUGACAUAGCAAAAUCACUCAAAGAUUUUGACUGUUUAAUCUGUGCUUAAAUAAGGAUUAAUCUAUAUUUAAUCUAUGCAAUAUGUAAUGUCAGUGUUUGCACACUGACUGAAUGGGCACUUCAUGCAGCACACAUAAAUUCAUAUUCACUUAUUCUUGAUUUAAAUUUUUAAAUUGGCAAGGCUUAAAAACAUGCGCAAAUGAGUUUAGUUUAAACACUGAUAGCAAUGUGUGCUGUUCAAGUCUCACCUGUGAUUGUGUGCUGUCAACACCUGUGUGAUAACUCAGUAAAUGACUGGUCAUAUUAGAGCAUAUGACACUCACAUUUAACAAAGUUUGCAAAGAGUGACUGUUUUGUCCACUUUUUUUUGAUCAUUGCUGUUGUAAUAUAUUGGAAAGUUAGAAUGUGUAUCCGACAUACAUUUGAUGUCAUACAUCCAGAAACAUUCAUUAGCAGAACUCUGUCUAUUUAAUGCAUUAUUUUCAACAAACCAUAUUAUCGAUAAAUUGUCAGAUUUGAGAUGAACCAGGACGCAAGUGCAUGCCAAACUGUGGGUGGAGAAUGUAAUGGUUCGAAAUAUAUAUAUAUAUUUUUUUAAACCGAGAACUGUUAUGCCCCUACUAUGUACAAUAGAGCUUUAUCACACUUCCCUUUUCCAGUAAGUGAAGCAGUGAAUCGCUACUUCCGGUACUAUCGCAGCACAAUCAAAACUAAUGGCUGAAUGUUUGCAUUGUUUUUGUUUUUUGUUUUACUCUUUUUAUAUUUUUCUGUACACCAUAAUCAUCAGAAUAUCUCUUCUCCUGUCUCUGAAAUUGUCCAGAUUUUGAAAUCAUUCUGCGGAUGCUCAUUUUAAGAGGUGUUUAGUCAACUAUGUGUUAACAGCACAUUAAAAAUAUACAUAACAGGAAGAAUCAAUACAUUGCUUUGGCAAGCACUUCCGGUAAUCUAUUUCACUGUGAUAAAGGUCUAUUGUAUGGUGUGGUUUCCAGCAGCCUGUCAUAUGAUCGCAACUUUGUUUCAUGCCAACUUUAAGCCUGAGAGACUUGACUAAGGGUGUUAUUGGGUGUUAUUUUUUUUUAAAUAAACUGUCUUUUUUUAUUGUAGGU